This 484-nucleotide ribosomal RNA is filed under the name uncultured bacterium. Its description in RNAcentral is "partial 16S ribosomal RNA". It matches the Rfam family "Bacterial small subunit ribosomal RNA", at positions 899 to 1397 of the family's 1533-position model. The record is from RNAcentral.
ACUCAAAUGAAUUGACGGGGACCCGCACAAGCGGUGGAGCGUGUUCUUUAAUUCGACGCUAAGCGAAGAACCUUACCAGGGCUUGACAUCCUUGGAAGCUCUGCGAAAGUAGAGUGUGCCUUUUGGAACCAAGUGACAGGUGUUGCAUGGCCGUCGUCAGCUCGUGUCGUGAGAUGUUUGGUUAAGUCCAUUAACGAGCGCAACCCUUAUGAAUAGUUGGAUUUUUCUAUUUAGACUGCCUCGGUAACGGGGAGGAAGGAGGGGAUGAUGUCAGGUCAUUAUUACCCUUACGUCCUGGGCUAGAAACGCGCUACAAUGGCCGGUACAGAGGGCAGCCAACCCGCGAGGGGGAGCAAAUCUCAUCAAAGCCGGUCCCAGUUCGGAUUGCAGGCUGAAACUCGCCUGCAUGAAGUCGGAAUCGCUAGUAAUCGUGGGUCAGCACACCACGGUGAAUACGUUCCCGGGUCUUGUACACACCGCCCGU